RNAcentral lists this ribosomal RNA (1385 nucleotides) under Mammaliicoccus sciuri. Its description in RNAcentral is "bacterial SSU rRNA". It matches the Rfam family "Bacterial small subunit ribosomal RNA", at positions 78 to 1448 of the family's 1533-position model. The record is from RNAcentral. Lineage: Bacteria; Bacillati; Bacillota; Bacilli; Caryophanales; Staphylococcaceae.
UUGCUUCUCUGAUGUUAGCGGCGGACGGGUGAGUAACACGUGGGUAACCUACCUAUAAGACUGGGAUAACUCCGGGAAACCGGGGCUAAUACCGGAUAAUAUUUUGAACCGCAUGGUUCGAUAGUGAAAGACGGUUUCGGCUGUCACUUAUAGAUGGACCCGCGCCGUAUUAGCUAGUUGGUAAGGUAACGGCUUACCAAGGCGACGAUACGUAGCCGACCUGAGAGGGUGAUCGGCCACACUGGAACUGAGACACGGUCCAGACUCCUACGGGAGGCAGCAGUAGGGAAUCUUCCGCAAUGGGCGAAAGCCUGACGGAGCAACGCCGCGUGAGUGAUGAAGGUCUUCGGAUCGUAAAACUCUGUUGUUAGGGAAGAACAAAUUUGUUAGUAACUGAACAAGUCUUGACGGUACCUAACCAGAAAGCCACGGCUAACUACGUGCCAGCAGCCGCGGUAAUACGUAGGUGGCAAGCGUUAUCCGGAAUUAUUGGGCGUAAAGCGCGCGUAGGCGGUUUCUUAAGUCUGAUGUGAAAGCCCACGGCUCAACCGUGGAGGGUCAUUGGAAACUGGGAAACUUGAGUGCAGAAGAGGAGAGUGGAAAUUCCAUGUGUAGCGGUGAAAUGCGCAGAGAUAUGGAGGAACACCAGUGGCGAAGGCGGCUCUCUGGUCUGUAACUGACGCUGAUGUGCGAAAGCGUGGGGAUCAAACAGGAUUAGAUACCCUGUAGUCCACGCCGUAAACGAUGAGUGCUAAGUGUUAGGGGUUUCCGCCCCUUAGUGCUGCAGCUAACGCAUUAAGCACUCCGCCUGGGGAGUACGACCGCAAGGUUGAAACUCAAAGGAAUUGACGGGGACCCGCACAAGCGGUGGAGCAUGUGGUUUAAUUCGAAGCAACGCGAAGAACCUUACCAAAUCUUGACAUCCUUUGACCGCUCUAGAGAUAGAGUCUUCCCCUUCGGGGGACAAAGUGACAGGUGGUGCAUGGUUGUCGUCAGCUCGUGUCGUGAGAUGUUGGGUUAAGUCCCGCAACGAGCGCAACCCUUAAGCUUAGUUGCCAUCAUUAAGUUGGGCACUCUAGGUUGACUGCCGGUGACAAACCGGAGGAAGGUGGGGAUGACGUCAAAUCAUCAUGCCCCUUAUGAUUUGGGCUACACACGUGCUACAAUGGAUAAUACAAAGGGCAGCGAAUCCGCGAGGCCAAGCAAAUCCCAUAAAAUUAUUCUCAGUUCGGAUUGUAGUCUGCAACUCGACUACAUGAAGCUGGAAUCGCUAGUAAUCGUAGAUCAGCAUGCUACGGUGAAUACGUUCCCGGGUCUUGUACACACCGCCCGUCACACCACGAGAGUUUGUAACACCCGAAGCCGGUGGAGUAACCUUUUAGGAG